This is a long non-coding RNA of Sus scrofa (pig), 535 nucleotides long. RefSeq lists it as uncharacterized. The record is from RefSeq and is a predicted model, not a curated record. Lineage: Eukaryota; Metazoa; Chordata; Mammalia; Artiodactyla; Suidae.
GCGAGCUGCAAGAGAAACUGGAGAUGCUGUUUCUAUUCCGGGCAUCUGUGCACUGAGCUAAAAUUCUAUUCCUGGGGAAGAAGAGAGGGGGUAACAGGGGCCAAUUUAUUUUCUAACUAAAGGACAUUUUACACACAGGAAAAGAUCAAGAGCAAAGGCUCUGAGGAGGGAGAGACCUUGUUUAAAGAAGAGAAAGAAGGCCAGCGUCACUCAGCGAUGGUUAAAGAGGAUGUGGGUUCAGGGAUGCAGACGGGGACGAGGCCACGUGAGGAUUUUUAAACCACGGUAAAGCGUGUGGACUUUCUGGCCAGCAAGAAGAGAACGUUCCAUGGUGGGAUCUGCUCUGAAGUCUCCGGUGUGUAAUAUGACGUGACCAUUAGGAAGGUGAAAGAGGACCAUGACAGCACCUGGACAGCUGAACAUAAACAUUUCAAAGGAAUAUUCUUAACACAGGCAAAGCAUCUAAAGGAAGAGUACUUUUUUGUUAUUAUUAUUAUUUUUAUAAAAAAUAAAUAAUAAAAAAUUAAAAAAUAAA